AUCCUCCCCGAGCCACGCCUGGAUGACAUCCCUGCUGCUUCACCUUCAGCAUGUCAACGCAGAGCUUCUGCUCCAGCUUUCAGACCUGAUGCUGCUGUCUGUGGAGGAUGGUUAAGUCAAAGCACUAGUGGUCCUCCAACUUCAGUCAAGGGCGAGAGGCACGCAGAGCCGGAGCUGAGAGAAGACAUGGACAGAUGCAUGAGAAUUUAGGUGUGAUCGUUAACAAGUGGGCGGAGAGACUGGCAAUGGGAGGCACUUCAUGGAGAGGAGAGAGACUUGAGUUCUGGCAUCCACGCUUGUUGUUGAUCUUCCUGCACUUGUUUUUGUCCCAUUGUAGUUAGUCUUCCUCUUAUUUUUCUGUUUUGUUUCUAAUUUACUCAGUUGAUUAAUAAAUCCCCUAGAUAAACAAGAC
This is a long non-coding RNA of Carassius auratus (goldfish), 412 nucleotides long. RefSeq lists it as uncharacterized. NCBI's taxonomy places the organism in Eukaryota, Metazoa, Chordata, Actinopteri, Cypriniformes, Cyprinidae. The record is from RefSeq and is a predicted model, not a curated record. The transcript has 3 exons.